RNAcentral lists this ribosomal RNA (492 nucleotides) under uncultured bacterium. RNAcentral describes it as "partial 16S ribosomal RNA". It matches the Rfam family "Bacterial small subunit ribosomal RNA", at positions 28 to 507 of the family's 1533-position model. The record is from RNAcentral.
GAUGAACGCUCGCUACAGGCUUAACACAUGCAAGUCGAGGGGAAACGCCAUCGAAAGCUUGCUUUUGAUGGGCGUCGACCGGCGCACGGGUGAGUAACGCGUAUCCAACCUGCCCACCACUUGGGGAUAACCUUGCGAAAGUAAGACUAAUACCCAAUGACGUCUCUAGAAGACAUCUGAAAGAGAUUAAAGAUUUAUCGGUGAUGGAUGGGGAUGCGUCUGAUUAGCUUGUUGGCGGGGUAACGGCCCACCAAGGCGACGAUCAGUAGGGGUUCUGAGAGGAAGGUCCCCCACAUUGGAACUGAGACACGGUCCAAACGCCUACGGGAGGCAGCAGUGAGGAAUAUUGGUCAAUGGACGAGAGUCUGAACCAGCCAAGUAGCGUGCAGGAGGACGGCCCUAUGGGUUGUAAACUGCUUUUAUAAGGGAAUAAAGUGAGUCUCGUGAGACUUUUUGCAUGUACCUUAUGAAUAAGGACCGGCUAAGUCCGUG